UGUUGGUAUUCAAAGAAUGGAUGUAGUUGGUUCUCAACCAAAUGUUACGGUCACACCAACUCAGGGACAGGUAAGCUUCGUACGGUUGAACCUCAUUGCCUAACAAAGGUGAUUUGCAGCAUUAACUGCAUAUUGGCUUCCCCUAAGAUCAAGAAGAAGUUAGUUUCAAAAAAACAAGGAAAUGUCAAUGUAUACCGUUUAGUUUCCCGCAAAUAGUGAAUUUUGGUGAUUGUGUAGAGGUGUGGACCAGGCAUCAUUGAUUAAUUUUUCCA
This is a long non-coding RNA of Cicer arietinum (chickpea), 272 nucleotides long. RefSeq lists it as uncharacterized. The record is from RefSeq and is a predicted model, not a curated record. NCBI's taxonomy places the organism in Eukaryota, Viridiplantae, Streptophyta, Magnoliopsida, Fabales, Fabaceae.